AACGCGAAGAACCUUACCUGGGCUCGAAAUGGAGUGGACCGGAGUAGAAAUAUUCCUUCCCCGCAAGGGGCUGCUCUAUAGGUGCUGCAUGGCUGUCGUCAGCUCGUGUCGUGAGAUGUUGGGUUAAGUCCCGCAACGAGCGCAACCCUUAUUACCAGUUGCCAUCAUUAAGUUGGGCACUCAGGUGAGACCGCCUCGGAUAACGGGGAGGAAGGCGGGGAUGACGUCAAGUCCUCAUGGCCUUUAUGUCCAGGGCUACACACGUGCUACAAUGGCCGGUACAAAGCGCUGCCAACCCGCGAGGGGGAGCUAAUCGCCAAAAACCGUCCUCAGUUCGGAUUGCAGGCUGCAACUCGCCUGCAUGAAGCUGGAAUCGCUAGUAAUGCUAUAUCAGAACGAUAAGCGUGAAUACGUUCCCGGGCCUUGUACACACCGGAGUA
Molecule: ribosomal RNA, 440 nt
Filed under: uncultured bacterium
Lineage: Bacteria
Description: bacterial SSU rRNA
Rfam family: Bacterial small subunit ribosomal RNA
Source: RNAcentral